RNAcentral lists this ribosomal RNA (253 nucleotides) under uncultured bacterium. RNAcentral's name for it is "partial 16S ribosomal RNA". It matches the Rfam family "Bacterial small subunit ribosomal RNA", at positions 524 to 776 of the family's 1533-position model. The record is from RNAcentral.
UACGAAGGGGGCUAGCGUUGCUCGGAAUCACUGGGCGUAAAGCGCACGUAGGCGGGUUCUUAAGACAGGGGUGAAAUCCUGGAGCUCAACUCCAGAACUGCCUUUGAUACUGGGAAUCUCGAGUCCGGGAGAGGUGAGUGGAACUGCGAGUGUAGAGGUGAAAUUCGUAGAUAUUCGCAAGAACACCAGUGGCGAAGGCGGCUCACUGGCCCGGUACUGACGCUGAGGUGCGAAAGCGUGGGGAGCAAACAGG